AGGUGGUGCAUGGUUGUCGUCAGCUCGUGUCGUGAGAUGUUGGGUUAAGUCCCGCAACGAGCGCAACCCUUGUCCUUAGUUGCCAGCAUUCAGUUGGGCACUCUAAGGAGACUGCCGGUGACAAACCGGAGGAAGGUGGGGAUGACGUCAAAUCAUCAUGCCCCUUAUGACCUGGGCUACACACGUGCUACAAUGGAUGGUACAAAGGGCUGCGAGACCGCGAGGCUUAGCCAAUCCCAUAAAACCAUUCUCAGUUCGGAUUGUAGGCUGCAACUCGCCUACAUGAAGCCGGAAUCGCUAGUAAUCGUGGAUCANCAUGCCACGGUGAAUACGUUCCCGGGUCUUG
RNAcentral lists this ribosomal RNA (346 nucleotides) under uncultured bacterium. RNAcentral describes it as "bacterial SSU rRNA". It matches the Rfam family "Bacterial small subunit ribosomal RNA", at positions 1036 to 1383 of the family's 1533-position model. The record is from RNAcentral.